RNAcentral lists this ribosomal RNA (301 nucleotides) under uncultured bacterium. Its description in RNAcentral is "bacterial SSU rRNA". It matches the Rfam family "Bacterial small subunit ribosomal RNA", at positions 505 to 805 of the family's 1533-position model. The record is from RNAcentral.
GUGCCAGCAGCCGCGGUAAUACGAAGGGUGCAAGCGUUACUCGGAAUUACUGGGCGUAAAGCGUGCGCAGGCGGUUUUGUAAGUCAGAUGUGAAAUCCCCGGGCUCAACCUGGGAACUGCAUUUGUGACUGCAUGGCUAGAGUACGGUAGAGGGGGAUGGAAUUCCGCGUGUAGCAGUGAAAUGCGUAGAGAUGUGGAGGAACACCAAUGGCGAAGGCAGCCCCCUGGGUCGAUACUGACGCUCAUGCACGAAAGCGUGGGUAGCAAACAGGAUUAGAUACCCUGGUAGUCCACGCCCUAA